Molecule: transfer RNA, 65 nt
Filed under: Berthellina sp. TLT-2006
Lineage: Eukaryota; Metazoa; Mollusca; Gastropoda; Pleurobranchida; Pleurobranchidae
Description: tRNA-Glu
Source: RNAcentral
GUCUUUGUGGUGAAAUUAUAUCACGUUACCUUUUCGAGGUAAAAUAGAAGGUUCUUCCAUAGAUA